GACGAACGCUGGCGGCGUGCUUAACACAUGCAAGUCGAACGGUAAGGCUCCAGCUUGCUGGGGUACACGAGUGGCGAACGGGUGAGUAACACGUGGGUGACCUGCCCUGCACUUCGGGAUAAGCCUGGGAAACUGGGUCUAAUACCGGAUAGGACCGCACCGUGAGGGUGUGGUGGAAAGUUUUUUCGGUGUGGGAUGGGCCCGCGGCCUAUCAGCUUGUUGGUGGGGUAAUGGCCUACCAAGGCGGCGACGGGUAGCCGGCCUGAGAGGGUGGACGGCCACAUUGGGACUGAGACACGGCCCAGACUCCUACGGGAGGCAGCAGUGGGGAAUAUUGCACAAUGGGCGGAAGCCUGAUGCAGCGACGCCGCGUGGGGGAUGACGGCCUUCGGGUUGUAAACUCCUUUCACCAUCGACGAAGGGUUUCUGACGGUAGAUGGAGAAGAAGCACCGGCUAACUACGUGCCAGCAGCCGCGGUAAUACGUAGGGUGCGAGCGUUGUCCGGAAUUACUGGGCGUAAAGAGCUCGUAGGUGGUUUGUCGCGUCGUCUGUGAAAUUCCGGGGCUUAACUCCGGGCGUGCAGGCGAUACGGGCAUAACUUGAGUACUGUAGGGGAGACUGGAAUUCCUGGUGUAGCGGUGAAAUGCGCAGAUAUCAGGAGGAACACCGGUGGCGAAGGCGGGUCUCUGGGCAGUAACUGACGCUGAGGAGCGAAAGCAUGGGGAGCGAACAGGAUUAGAUACCCUGGUAGUCCAUGCCGUAAACGGUGGGCGCUAGGUGUGGGUUUCCUUCCACGGGAUCCGUGCCGUAGCUAACGCAUUAAGCGCCCCGCCUGGGGAGUACGGCCGCAAGGCUAAAACUCAAAGGAAUUGACGGGGGCCCGCACAAGCGGCGGAGCAUGUGGAUUAAUUCGAUGCAACGCGAAGAACCUUACCUGGGCUUGACAUAUACAGGAUCGCGCCAGAGAUGGUGUUUCCCUUGUGGCUUGUAUACAGGUGGUGCAUGGUUGUCGUCAGCUCGUGUCGUGAGAUGUUGGGUUAAGUCCCGCAACGAGCGCAACCCUUGUCUUAUGUUGCCAGCACGUUGUGGUGGGGACUCGUAAGAAACUGCCGGGGUUAACUCGGAGGAAGGUGGGGAUGGCGUCAAAUCAUCAUGCCCCUUAUGUCCAGGGCUUCACACAUGCUACAAUGGUCGGUACGGUGGGUUGCCAGUCCGUGAGGGCGAGCUAAUCCCGCAAAGCCGGUCUCAGUUCGGAUCGGGGUCUGCAACUCGACCCCGUGAAGUCGGAGUCGCUAGUAAUCGCAGAUCAGCAACGCUGCGGUGAAUACGUUCCCGGGCCU
RNAcentral lists this ribosomal RNA (1341 nucleotides) under uncultured bacterium. RNAcentral describes it as "16S ribosomal RNA". It matches the Rfam family "Bacterial small subunit ribosomal RNA", at positions 28 to 1381 of the family's 1533-position model. The record is from RNAcentral.